This 253-nucleotide ribosomal RNA is filed under the name uncultured bacterium. RNAcentral's name for it is "partial 16S ribosomal RNA". It matches the Rfam family "Bacterial small subunit ribosomal RNA", at positions 524 to 776 of the family's 1533-position model. The record is from RNAcentral.
UACGUAGGGUGCAAGCGUUAAUCGGAAUUACUGGGCGUAAAGCGUGCGCAGGCGGUGAUGUAAGUCAGAUGUGAAAUCCCCGGGCUCAACCUGGGAACUGCAUUUGUGACUGCAUCGCUGGAGUGCGGCAGAGGGGGAUGGAAUUCCGCGUGUAGCAGUGAAAUGCGUAGAUAUGCGGAGGAACACCGAUGGCGAAGGCAAUCCCCUGGGCCUGCACUGACGCUCAUGCGCGAAAGCGUGGGGAGCAAACAGG